Small nucleolar RNA from Mercurialis annua (annual mercury), 213 nucleotides. RefSeq annotates it as small nucleolar RNA U3. The transcript has a single exon. Lineage: Eukaryota; Viridiplantae; Streptophyta; Magnoliopsida; Malpighiales; Euphorbiaceae. The record is from RefSeq and is a predicted model, not a curated record.
ACGACCUUACUUGAACAGGAUCUGUUCUAUAGGCUCGUACUUCUGUAUCCUUUAUCACUAAGGAGACAGGAACCUAAAUCUGGUGGAUGAAUCAUGACCGUGUGAUCAGAGCGUGAUUAACGGCUCAAUCAUUCUCGGAUGACCACGGUUGUAGAGGAUCGUUUCCAGCUGGCUUAGUCUGGCUGGAGUGGUCUCACGGUUGUCUGACAGAUU